UAGCAAGUAGGCUGGAAAUUGACCACCGGUGGUGGAAGGUCUGGUGAAGAAGAGGAGGAGGAGGAAUCAUCAGUGGGAAUCUGGCAGCCCUCAAGCAGCAGGAUCCCAAUCUAACAGCAUUAUCCCCAACCUGGAAGGAGUAAAGUGGUGGGAAAUUAUGACUUCCAGUCAGUCAUCAUCAUAAAGCUCCGUUCAGCUGACGCCAGCCUUGAAGCCCGCGCUAAGCGGCCUCAUUGCAACAGAGGAUAAAUCCAUUGCUACGGAUGUUGCAUGCAGGUGGUCACGGGACCGGUCGCAGUCUACGGUUGUAUGUAUAAUAUUCAAUAUGAAGGGAUGGGUGGCAGCAGAAGCUUCCGAGUCCUCACAGGUUCAUGAAUAUAUUGAUGCACUUGAGUUUCACCAUAUGUUUUGUGAUUCUGUAAUAAUUGUUUCUAAAUAGCUUCUCUGUCGCCUGAACCCUUUUUGGGAACGUCUCAAUCUGCACUCACACACGAGCAGUGAAAUAAGGCGAGUCGUUAGGAAGGCACGCCGAAGCGGCGUUCGUUGCGCUGACUUUGAUUGGAGAGGGUUGCUGUCAGAUGAAGUCUUACGGCACCCGUCAGGGCAGUAAUACAAGCUGAGAGGAAAUAACAUCUAUUUCUC
Long non-coding RNA from Gasterosteus aculeatus aculeatus (three-spined stickleback), 642 nucleotides. The record is from Ensembl. NCBI's taxonomy places the organism in Eukaryota, Metazoa, Chordata, Actinopteri, Perciformes, Gasterosteidae.